GGCCUAACACAUGCAAGUCGAGCGGUAGCACAGGAGAGCUUGCUCUCUGGGUGACGAGCGGCGGACGGGUGAGUAAUGUCUGGGAAACUGCCUGAUGGAGGGGGAUAACUACUGGAAACGGUAGCUAAUACCGCAUAACGUCUUCGGACCAAAGAGGGGGACCUUCGGGCCUCUUGCCAUCAGAUGUGCCCAGAUGGGAUUAGCUAGUAGGUGAGGUAAUGGCUCACCUAGGCGACGAUCCCUAGCUGGUCUGAGAGGAUGACCAGCCACGCUGGAACUGAGACACGGUCCAGACUCCUACGGGAGGCAGCAGUGGGGAAUAUUGCACAAUGGGCGCAAGCCUGAUGCAGCCAUGCCGCGUGUAUGAAGAAGGCCUUCGGGUUGUAAAGUACUUUCAGCGAGGAGGAAGGCGUUAAGGUUAAUAACCUUGGCGAUUGACGUUACUCGCAG
Molecule: ribosomal RNA, 450 nt
Filed under: uncultured Gammaproteobacteria bacterium
Lineage: Bacteria; Pseudomonadati; Pseudomonadota; Gammaproteobacteria
Description: bacterial SSU rRNA
Rfam family: Bacterial small subunit ribosomal RNA
Source: RNAcentral